This 928-nucleotide long non-coding RNA is filed under the name Solanum tuberosum (potato). RNAcentral's name for it is "long non-coding RNA (STUB_LNC009853)". Lineage: Eukaryota; Viridiplantae; Streptophyta; Magnoliopsida; Solanales; Solanaceae. The record is from RNAcentral.
AGCCGGGCCCAAUAUGAUGAAGAUUAUAAUUUAAGGAAUAGCGAUGUUUCUUCCAAUACAACAAGAAAUGUAAAGUUGAUGCUGAUACUUCUGUUGAAUGUAUGGAGGUUAUAUUGCUCUGUUUUUGCUUUCUGCAAAAAUUAAACACAUGUGCGUCAUUGGGUUAACGUUAGAUUGUUCGGUUAAGAUAUUAAUGGAGUGAGGCAGUGAGCGAGAAGGAUAGGGGUGUAUGUGUAUCUUACAUCAGGCAGUCGGAUGAGAUUAAAAAAGUGUGGAAGCUGGCAAGUUAUUUAUUUAAGAACCUCGACAUUGAGUAUCUUCAAACAGGGUAACUCAGCAUGUAAAAGGGUAUGCUUGGCAGAUCCAUUUGUACGAACUGCAUCCAUAAAGCUCAAUGAUCUGUACACACAAGCGCAGCCUGUUAAAUCACAUCGGAAAGAGGCGCACAUGAAAAUUGUAAUUGUAGAAUUUAUGAUCACAAUGCAUGUUUUAAAGUGAAAGUAAGUAUAAGGAGAUAAUUCUAUCGACAUAUAAAUUGCAUGGCAGCAGAAAUAACAACUAAAGCUUAAACUUUUCAUCUGUGUUCUUUACAAGUUUAAUGGAAAGCUGUAACAGGACAAAUUGCUAAGAUAAAAUUUCAAGACUUGAUAUUAAACUAAGCUCAUAAAACAUUAAGGUUACCAUUAUCAGGGCAUUUGCUAUGCCAAUGAAUACAGAAUAUCAACAAUAUAUUGUGUAAGCUCUUCAAUCGCUCCUGCAUAUAAUACAACUAUUAGAUGACUUGUUAGCAUUAUAUUUCUUACAUUGUCCUUCUCUUCAAGUAGAAGGUCUUUAUUUUAAAUGGAAACAAUGCUUAGAAAGAUACCAAGGCUUUUGAAGAUGGCUAAUGGGUAGGUAAAUUUGAAAACCGAUAUCCGAUAGGCCAAAC